RNAcentral lists this ribosomal RNA (463 nucleotides) under uncultured bacterium. RNAcentral describes it as "bacterial SSU rRNA". It matches the Rfam family "Bacterial small subunit ribosomal RNA", at positions 331 to 792 of the family's 1533-position model. The record is from RNAcentral.
CCAGACUCCUACGGGAGGCAGCAGUGAGGAAUAUUGGUCAAUGGCCGAGAGGCUGAACCAGCCAAGUCGCGUGAGGGAAGAAUGUCCUAUGGAUUGUAAACCUCUUUUGUCAGGGAGCAAAGUCACCCACGUGUGGGUGUUGGAGAGUACCUGAAGAAAAAGCAUCGGCUAACUCCGUGCCAGCAGCCGCGGUAAUACGGAGGAUGCGAGCGUUAUCCGGAUUUAUUGGGUUUAAAGGGUGCGUAGGCGGUCUGUUAAGUAAGGGGAAAAUUGGGGGGGCUCACCCCCGUCGAGCCGUUGAAACUGGCAGACUUGAGUUGGCGAGAAGUACGCGGAAUGCGCGGUGUAGCGGUGAAAUGCAUAGAUAUCGCGCAGAGCUCCGAUUGCGAAGGCAGCGUACCGGCGCCACACUGACGCUGAGGCACGAAAGCGUGGGGAUCGAACAGGAUUAGAUACCCCUGUA